Molecule: long non-coding RNA, 312 nt
Organism: Gopherus evgoodei (Goodes thornscrub tortoise)
Lineage: Eukaryota; Metazoa; Chordata; Testudines; Testudinidae
Exons: 4
Source: RefSeq, a predicted model, not a curated record
ACAAGAAUCUCCAGGCUCUCUAAUCUUCUGUUUCCAAUUUGUGGCAAAUGCCUGGCUUGAGGAAGCUGCACCUGAUAAGUUGUACUACUUGAUCUAGUGCCAUUUAAAAUCAAAGAUAAGACUCCCAUUGACAUCAUUAGGGUUUGGAUGAAGGCCCAACUGCCAGAGGAAUUCCAGGAAACUGGUCUGUCUGGGGAGAGGUAUAGCAGCAAGGUUAAUGAACCUCUCAGACAUGUCCCGGAGGACUAAAGAGAUUUCCAACAAAAGAGGGAAGACCAGACUUGAUUUUCUUGAUAUUUUGACACUGAGUUC